Long non-coding RNA from Erigeron canadensis, 458 nucleotides. RefSeq lists it as uncharacterized. The transcript has 2 exons. NCBI's taxonomy places the organism in Eukaryota, Viridiplantae, Streptophyta, Magnoliopsida, Asterales, Asteraceae. The record is from RefSeq and is a predicted model, not a curated record.
AUGAUUAUUAUCAAGUUAGAUAACAAUCUUCUCUUUUUUAUUUUUUUACCUCAUUUAAUCGGCACCACCUCACCACUCAAUCUUACUUGCUAAAAUAAACUUUAAUGUUAUCUUAUUAUUAUAAGUAGAUAGAGAUUCUUUGAAUUGCUAUUGCUAGAAUCGGUUUUUGAGAAGAGAAAGAGAAGAAUAAAUGAUGUGAUAAGUGAAGAAUAAAUACGACAGAUUUAUUAAGGAGAGAAAGAGAAGAGAGAGGAUGGAAAAAGGAAUUGAAGAGGUUGGAGCAUUGAAUUGAAGAGAUGCCAGCCAAAGAAGAAAGGAGUUAAUGCAGAGAGGAUGUGCAUAUGUAUGCAUUUAUGAAAGGAUUACAUUGAAGCUUUUAUUGCUUGCUAGCUUAUUUUCCUUAUCAUUAUUAUUCUGAAAUUGAAAUACAUACAUAUGGGGAGAAAUAUUAUUAAUUA